GCCUAUCAGCUAGCCCCACCCCUCAAUAACAACAAAUCAACAUAAAUAACCCCAAAAACACGCAAGACUACACGAACUAAACCAUUCUCCCACCCUAGUAUGGGCGACAGAAAAGGAACUAGUGGAGCAAUAGAGAAAGUACCGCAAGGGAACGCUGAAAGAGAGAUGAAAUAGCCCAGUAAAGCUUAAAAAAACAGAGAUUUAAACUCGUACCUUUUGCAUCAUGAA
RNAcentral lists this ribosomal RNA (228 nucleotides) under Istiophorus platypterus (Indo-Pacific sailfish). Its description in RNAcentral is "partial 16S ribosomal RNA". Lineage: Eukaryota; Metazoa; Chordata; Actinopteri; Istiophoriformes; Istiophoridae. The record is from RNAcentral.